Molecule: ribosomal RNA, 245 nt
Filed under: uncultured bacterium
Lineage: Bacteria
Description: partial 16S ribosomal RNA
Rfam family: Bacterial small subunit ribosomal RNA
Source: RNAcentral
UACGGAGGAUCCAAGCGUUAUCCGGAAUUACUGGGCGUAAAGAGUUGCGUAGGUGGCAUGGUAAGUUGCUAGUGAAAUCCUGGGGCUCAACCCCUUACCCAUUAGCAAAACUGCCAAGCUAGAGGACGAGAGAGGUACCUGGAAUUCCUAGUGUAGGAGUGAAAUCCGUAGAUAUUAGGAGGAACACCGAUGGCGUAGGCAGGGUACUGGCUUGUUCCUGACACUAAGGCACGAAAGCGUGGGGA